GCCAGCGCAGUGGUGAUGGUGCC
RNAcentral lists this microRNA (23 nucleotides) under Gallus gallus (chicken). RNAcentral describes it as "gga-miR-7467-5p (MIR7467)". The record is from RNAcentral. Lineage: Eukaryota; Metazoa; Chordata; Aves; Galliformes; Phasianidae.